GAGAUGUCGCCAAGUGGUAAGGCUGCAGGUUUUGAUCUUGUUAUUCAGAGGUUCGAAUCCUUCCAUCCA
Molecule: non-coding RNA, 69 nt
Organism: Marchantia paleacea
Lineage: Eukaryota; Viridiplantae; Streptophyta; Marchantiopsida; Marchantiales; Marchantiaceae
Source: the annotation of a GenBank genome assembly